UGCCGUUGUUUUUGAUUAAAAUUACACAUGUAAGUAUCCGCACACCAGUGAAAAUGCCCUUAAACAAAAAAGGAGCGGGUAUCAGGCACGACUUUCAGCCCAAAACACCUUGCUACGCCACACCCCCACGGGACUUCAACAGUGACAGACAUUAAGCCAUGGGCGAAACAGACCAAUAAAGCCUGACUUAGUUAUAAUCAAUCAGGGCCGGCAAAUCUCGUGCCAGCCGCCGCGGUUAUACGAGAGGCCCAAAACAACAGCAAACGGCGUAAAUUGUGGCUAGAAUAACAGCUAAUAAGUAAGAAAUAAACCACUACCUUACCGUAAAACACAGGUAAAAUGAAAUCUCUUACCCUAAGCAAUUUGAACCCACGAAAACUAAGAAACAAACUAGGAUUAGAUACCCUACUAUGCUUAGUUGUAAAUAAGACGACCCCCCCCCAACAUAAGCGUCCGCCAGAGGACUACAAGCGAAAAGCUUAAAACUCAAAAGACUUGGCGGUGUCCCAAACCCGACUUAGAGGAGCCUGUCCUAUAAUCGAUAACCCACGAUAAACCCGACCACCCCUUGCCAACCAGCCUAUAUACCGCCGUCGCAAACCUACCUUACAAAAGAACAACAGUAGGUACAACAGUAAAACCACUAAAACGUCAGGUCAAGGUGUAGCUAAUGAGGUGGAAGAGAUGGGCUACAUUCUUUAACAUAAAGCAGACAGAAAAGGCCAUGAAAUAGGCCUCAAAAGGAGGAUUUAACAGUAAGUUUGGCAAGAAAGCCAACCUUAAACCCGCUCUGGGACGCGCACACACCGCCCGUCACCCU
Molecule: non-coding RNA, 820 nt
Filed under: Microlophus jacobii
Lineage: Eukaryota; Metazoa; Chordata; Lepidosauria; Squamata; Tropiduridae
Description: partial 12S ribosomal RNA
Rfam family: Bacterial small subunit ribosomal RNA
Source: RNAcentral